RNAcentral lists this long non-coding RNA (360 nucleotides) under Salvia miltiorrhiza (redroot sage). RNAcentral's name for it is "long non-coding RNA (SMIL_LNC013441)". Lineage: Eukaryota; Viridiplantae; Streptophyta; Magnoliopsida; Lamiales; Lamiaceae. The record is from RNAcentral.
ACAAGCAGCAAGUAAAAGAGAAACAAGGGAAAGUCAGAGAAAAGAAAAACAAGGAAAGUUAGAGAAGGGGAAAAGGUGUCCUCGGGACACAGGGGCUCAGAUUUUCCCCCUUAUAUUCGGCAACCCUUCCGGCAGCUGAAUGAUCAAGACCAGGGAUGGACGAUGGAGCAGCUUCUCAGAUCUCAACAGAACCGCCAACAGCAGGAGCCAAGUUCAGAACUCCGGCGGCUCAGAUCUCCUCAGGUAACCACCAAACAGGACUCCGAUGGACAGGAAAGCCCGGUGAUACCACCACCCACGCAGGGAAUCCCGUAUUAUCAAGGAAUCAACCACAAAGGAAUAGCAGAGCCUUUCUAUCCU